Molecule: ribosomal RNA, 469 nt
Filed under: Enterococcus casseliflavus
Lineage: Bacteria; Bacillati; Bacillota; Bacilli; Lactobacillales; Enterococcaceae
Description: bacterial SSU rRNA
Rfam family: Bacterial small subunit ribosomal RNA
Source: RNAcentral
GACGAACGCUGGCGGCGUGCCUAAUACAUGCAAGUCGAACGCUUUUUCUUUCACCGGAGCUUGCUCCACCGAAAGAAAAAGAGUGGCGAACGGGUGAGUAACACGUGGGUAACCUGCCCAUCAGAAGGGGAUAACACUUGGAAACAGGUGCUAAUACCGUAUAACACUAUUUUCCGCAUGGAAGAAAGUUGAAAGGCGCUUUUGCGUCACUGAUGGAUGGACCCGCGGUGCAUUAGCUAGUUGGUGAGGUAACGGCUCACCAAGGCAACGAUGCAUAGCCGACCUGAGAGGGUGAUCGGCCACACUGGGACUGAGACACGGCCCAGACUCCUACGGGAGGCAGCAGUAGGGAAUCUUCGGCAAUGGACGAAAGUCUGACCGAGCAACGCCGCGUGAGUGAAGAAGGUUUUCGGAUCAUAAAACUCUGUUGUUAGAGAAGAACAAGGAUGAGAGUAAAACGUUCAUCCCU